This 253-nucleotide ribosomal RNA is filed under the name uncultured bacterium. RNAcentral's name for it is "partial 16S ribosomal RNA". It matches the Rfam family "Bacterial small subunit ribosomal RNA", at positions 524 to 776 of the family's 1533-position model. The record is from RNAcentral.
UACGAAGGGGGCUAGCGUUGCUCGGAAUCACUGGGCGUAAAGCGCACGUAGGCGGCCUGAUCAGUCGGGGGUGAAAGCCUGUGGCUCAACCACAGAAUGGCCUUCGAUACUGUCGGGCUUGAGUCCGGAAGAGGUAAGUGGAACUGCGAGUGUAGAGGUGAAAUUCGUAGAUAUUCGCAAGAACACCAGUGGCGAAGGCGGCUUACUGGCCCGGAUCUGACGCUGAGGCGCGAAAGCGUGGGGAGCAAACAGG